CUCCUACUCUGCCCCAGUGCACAGCUAAACUGGCAGCUGGUGGUCAUGUGUGGGGAGUCCUCACUGGUUUGGUCUCCUGGUCACAAGUGGGCAGAGUGAGCCGGACUCUAACUUAGUUUGCUCCAAGCUCUUCUUGUACAUUUCCAUUCCCAGAUCAAUAAUCUGUACUUUCAGGGGAUGAAGGAUGCACAGGUAAUGGGGGAAAAAAUAAGAACCAAGAUACAUCAUGUACAGGUACAAGCACCCAAUGAUAAAUGUAAACAUAUUGUAUACCUAGAAUGUACCAGUAAAAGAAUUAAAAAAAUUAAUCUGUACUUUCUUCAGGAAGCUCUGGUUCAUUUUAUUGGAGAAUAGAAUAGAAACUAAUUUCUAGAUACUAAUGGUGCUAGUUGUUACUAAGUUAUAUUCCCAUGUUGUCUCUCAGCUCUAAGGACAAGAAUGUAUACAUGUAUAUACUAACCUCUGUUCUACAUAUAUGUGUAAAUAUUCCUAUCAGUAGCCAUUUCUGUAUUUAUUAAAUUAAACAUGAGUUCAUGGUGUUGGCUCCAAUUACAGCCCCUUAAAAUUGGGAGCAUUCAAGCUUCAUUUUGCUAACCUGUAAAUUCCCACUCUAACAGUGCAAAAUCUGGGCAUCCAGUUGUACAACUUGUUACUUGUUUACUUUAUUUUAAAUUUCAGUGCACAUUCAUAGUCGUGUCAUGACUGUUAGCUUGUACUGCCAUGGGACACAGCUCUGUGAACUAAAAACAGGACUGAUGCAGAGUUCUUUGUGCCUUUAGUCUUACAGAUUCCACUCUUUUCUAAUGUUACUUAGGUCAUUUCCUUUCUCCCAUUCUCUUCCUUUAGGUCCUUCCAUACAUUUGAAAUAUGAUUACAUUGUCUUGUCACAGUCUGCAUUCUUUCCAGGAAUUCCCUUACCUCCUAAAUAAUUUAUUAAAAUUUUCAUACAUCAUAAUUUGUUCCUUGUGCUUUAAUGCACUGUAGAUUGUGACAAUGUGUAAUGAC
RNAcentral lists this long non-coding RNA (1005 nucleotides) under Heterocephalus glaber (naked mole-rat). RNAcentral describes it as "lncRNA (ENSHGLG00100049525.1)". Lineage: Eukaryota; Metazoa; Chordata; Mammalia; Rodentia; Bathyergidae. The record is from RNAcentral.